This 163-nucleotide ribosomal RNA is filed under the name uncultured bacterium. Its description in RNAcentral is "partial 16S ribosomal RNA". It matches the Rfam family "Bacterial small subunit ribosomal RNA", at positions 355 to 508 of the family's 1533-position model. The record is from RNAcentral.
UGGGGAAUUUUGGACAAUGGGCGCAAGCCUGAUCCAGCCAUGCCGCGUGCAGGAUGAAGGCCUUCGGGUUGUAAACUGCUUUUGUACGGAACGAAAAAGACUCUGGUUAAUACCUGGGGGUCCAUGACGGUACCGUAAGAAUAAGCCCCGGCUAACUUCGUGC